UAAGUGAUGUAAAAAGAGGCCAAACUUGUCUCAGCAAAAGACAGAGAGAAGAGAGUAAUCUAUAAGCCAUGAGUCUCCGGGUGGACUAGAGUGUAUCUGCAGUGCUUUGUGAGAGAGGCGACCUGAGCCCUAGGACCAUGCCUCAGGACUACCUGGCAUGAUGACUCCUUGCUGUCCCCAGUCCACCUCGCCGUGCUCCUGCUCCAGUUUCAAAUGUUCUGCCUGCGGCUAUGGAAUCCUGACCUGUUCACUGGACGUGCUACCUGUCCCAGAUCUAUUAUUUGACCAUGCUGGUCAUUUAUGAACAUUUGAACAUCUUGGCUAUGUUCUGUUAUAAUCUCCACCCGGCACAGCCAGAAGAGGACUGGCCACCCCUCAUAGCCUGGUUCCUCUCUAGGUUUCUUCCUAGGUUUUGGCCUUUCUAGGGAGUUUUUCCUAGCCAAUGUGCUUCAACACCUGCAUUGCUUGCUGUUUGGGGUUUUGGGCUGGGUUUCUGUACAGCACUUUGAGAUAUCAGCUGAUGUACGAAAGGCUAUAUAAAUACAUUUGAUUUGAUUCAGCAUUUAAAAAAUCCAGCAGCGUUGCAGUUCUUGACACACCCAAACCGGUGCACCUGGCACCUACCACCAUACCCCACACCUAAAUCUUUUGUCUUACCCAUUCACCCUCAGUGCAACACAUACACAAUCCACAUCUCAAGGCUUAAAAAUACUUAUUUAACCCAUCUCCUCCUCUUCAUCAAUAAGGGAUCAUAGCUUUCACCUGGAUUCAUCUGGUCAGUUUAUGUCAUGGAAAGAGCAGGUGUGUCUAAUGUUUUGUGCACUCAGUGCAUAUAUUUGUUUAAUUUUGGCAACACCACUGCAGUUGACCUAGACUUUGAAUACCACUGGUCUAGUACAAUGCUGCUUCCCAAUACAUCAUAUAAACCAGCUUAUCUUUCACAAUAGUCCAGUCCAUAAGAUCACUACUCUCCAGCAAACAGCAACCACCCAGACAGAGGGAGAUAAGAUUCUAUUAUUUCAGGUACGAUGUCACAGGCAAUUUUCUCUGGUUGCCACUGCUGGCCUGAGGCAAUAAUAAAAUAUGUGGAUAAACUAGGCCCAAGACCCAGCAGGGUCACGGAAGAAGGACAGCAAGGGCUUUCAAGGCUCCAGUCACAGCCGUUUUGGGAUUCAGCCUGGAAGGCAACUGAUAAGUCUGGUCGAAUCAAGAGGACCUCAUCAAUGCAUUUGUUUGCUCCUUGAAGUACAGGCACCAGCAGGCAGUGACAUCCAUCAACCAAGUCCUUAUUUCUAUUGACUUGGCGCCCUCUUGUGUUGAUGUGUGUAUCGGCAAGAGCAAGAGAGGCUCCAUAACAUCUUGUGCCUUGCUGAGCGACUCAUGUACAGUGGAUAUUACUUUAUUCCAUCAAUUAAGUGUCUACAAACAAUUUCCCCAAAUGUGUGCUUGGCAGGGAAUAAUGACACCUCUUAGUCACUGACAGCUCCACCCAGACAGCCUGUUGGUCUGGUGAGUAAUCCAUCAGGGUUGGUAGACAAGAGCACACGGGUGUGUUCACUAAGGUGAAACAUUUACAAUAAUGCAGAUAAAAAUUUAACCAAACAGAAAUUCCAGUUCCACAUGACAGACAAUAAAAUCUGUUCUACAUAAUGAUUUUCUAUCUGCUGUGUGUAUGGGUGUGGCCCUUACCCUGGUCUAUGUUGUGCUGUGGUAGCUGGCUCAUCUGAGCGUUGAC
Oncorhynchus tshawytscha (Chinook salmon) is the source of this 1735-nucleotide long non-coding RNA. NCBI's taxonomy places the organism in Eukaryota, Metazoa, Chordata, Actinopteri, Salmoniformes, Salmonidae. The record is from Ensembl.